Molecule: ribosomal RNA, 400 nt
Filed under: uncultured bacterium
Lineage: Bacteria
Description: bacterial SSU rRNA
Rfam family: Bacterial small subunit ribosomal RNA
Source: RNAcentral
CAAGGAAUUUUGCGCAAUGGGCGAAAGCCUGACGCAGCGACGCCGCGUGGGGGAAGACGGCUCUCGGGUUGUAAACCCCUUUUCUCAGGGAAGAAUAAUGACGGUACCUGAGGAAUAAGUCACGGCUAACUACGUGCCAGCAGCCGCGGUAAUACGUAGGUGGCUAGCGUUAUCCGGAUUUACUGGGCGUAAAGAGCGCGUAGGUGGUCUUCCAAGUCGAAUGUAAAAUCUCCUGGCUCAACUGGGAGGGCGCAUUCGAUACUGUUGGACUUGAGGGCAGUAGAGGAAAGCGGAAUUCCCGGUGUAGUGGUGAAAUGCGUAGAUAUCGGGAGGAACACCAGUGGCGAAGGCGGCUUUCUGGGCUGCACCUGACACUGAGGCGCGAAAGCGUGGGGAGCGA